AGGGAUCAUUACACAAAUAUGAAGGCGGGCUGGAACCUCUCGGGGUUACAGCCUUGCUGAAUUAUUCACCCUUGUCUUUUGCGUACUUCUUGUUUCCUUGGUGGGUUCGCCCACCACUAGGACAAACAUAAACCUUUUGUAAUUGCAAUCAGCGUCAGUAACAAAUUAAUAAUUACAACUUUCAACAACGGAUCUCUUGGUUCUGGCAUCGAUGAAGAACGCAGCGAAAUGCGAUAAGUAGUGUGAAUUGCAGAAUUCAGUGAAUCAUCGAAUCUUUGAACGCACAUUGCGCCCUUUGGUAUUCCAAAGGGCAUGCCUGUUCGAGCGUCAUUUGUACCCUCAAGCUUUGCUUGGUGUUGGGCGUCUUGUCUCUAGCUUUGCUGGAGACUCGCCUUAAAGUAAUUGGCAGCCGGCCUACUGGUUUCGGAGCGCAGCACAAGUCGCACUCUCUAUCAGCAAAGGUCUAGCAUCCAUUAAGCCUUUUUUUUCAACUUUUGACCUCGGAUCAGGUAGGGAUACCCGCUGAACUUAA
RNAcentral lists this ribosomal RNA (532 nucleotides) under Alternaria alternata. RNAcentral's name for it is "eukaryotic LSU rRNA". The stretch from base 177 to 330 matches the Rfam family "5.8S ribosomal RNA". The record is from RNAcentral. Lineage: Eukaryota; Fungi; Ascomycota; Dothideomycetes; Pleosporales; Pleosporaceae.